This 82-nucleotide transfer RNA is filed under the name Canis lupus familiaris (dog). It matches the Rfam family "tRNA". From Rfam's summary of the family: Transfer RNA (tRNA) molecules are approximately 80 nucleotides in length. The record is from Rfam by way of RNAcentral. RNAcentral also lists the same sequence under 2 other names. Lineage: Eukaryota; Metazoa; Chordata; Mammalia; Carnivora; Canidae.
GCUCAGUUGGUUGAGUGUUCAACUCUUGAUUUCAGCUCAAGUCUUAAUCUCAGGGUCAUGAGUUCAAGCCCCAUGUUGGGCU